This 462-nucleotide ribosomal RNA is filed under the name uncultured Planctomycetaceae bacterium. RNAcentral describes it as "bacterial SSU rRNA". It matches the Rfam family "Bacterial small subunit ribosomal RNA", at positions 338 to 795 of the family's 1533-position model. The record is from RNAcentral. Lineage: Bacteria; Pseudomonadati; Planctomycetota; Planctomycetia; Planctomycetales; Planctomycetaceae.
CCUACGGGUGGCUGCAGUCGAGGAUCUUCGGCAAUGGGCGCAAGCCUGACCGAGCGACGCCGCGUGCGGGAUGAAGGCCUUCGGGUUGUAAACCGCUGUCGUAGGGGAUGAAAUGCCGGUGGGUUCUCCCAUCGGUUUGACAUAUCCUAGGAGGAAGGACGGGCUAAGUUCGUGCCAGCAGCCGCGGUAAGACGAACCGUCCAAACGUUAUUCGGAAUUACUGGGCUUAAAGGGUGCGCAGGCGGCGCGGAAAGUUGGGUGUGAAAUCCCUCGGCUCAACCGAGGAACUGCGCCCAAAACUACCGUGCUUGAGGGAGACAGAGGUAAGCGGAACUUAGGGUGGAGCGGUGAAAUGCGUUGAUAUCCUAAGGAACACCAGUGGCGAAAGCGGCUUACUGGGUCUCUUCUGACGCUGAGGCACGAAAGCUAGGGUAGCGAACGGGAUUAGAUACCCCAGUAGUC